GAUGAACGCUAGCUACAGGCUUAACACAUGCAAGUCGAGGGGAAACGACAUCGAAAGCUUGCUUUUGAUGGGCGUCGACCGGCGCACGGGUGAGUAACGCGUAUCCAACCUGCCCAUCACUUGGGAAUAACCUUGCGAAAGUAAGACUAAUACCCAAUGACAUCCCACGAAGACAUCUGAAUGGGAUUAAAGAUUUAUCGGUGAUGGAUGGGGAUGCGUCUGAUUAGCUUGUUGGCGGGGUAACGGCCCACCAAGGCAACGAUCAGUAGGGGUUCUGAGAGGAAGGUCCCCCACAUUGGAACUGAGACACGGUCCAAACGCCUACGGGAGGCAGCGGUGAGGAAUAUUGGUCAAUGGGCGAGAGCCUGAACCAGCCAAGUAGCGUGCAGGAUGACGGCCCUAUGGGUUGUAAACUGCUUUUAUAAGGGAAUAAAGUGGGUCUCGUGAGACUUUUUGCAUGUACCUUAUGAAUAAGGACCGGCUAAUUCCGUG
This 492-nucleotide ribosomal RNA is filed under the name uncultured bacterium. RNAcentral describes it as "partial 16S ribosomal RNA". It matches the Rfam family "Bacterial small subunit ribosomal RNA", at positions 28 to 507 of the family's 1533-position model. The record is from RNAcentral.